This 253-nucleotide ribosomal RNA is filed under the name uncultured bacterium. RNAcentral's name for it is "partial 16S ribosomal RNA". It matches the Rfam family "Bacterial small subunit ribosomal RNA", at positions 524 to 776 of the family's 1533-position model. The record is from RNAcentral.
UACGAAGGGUGCAAGCGUUACUCGGAAUUACUGGGCGUAAAGCGUGCGUAGGUGGUUGUUUAAGUCUGUCGUGAAAGCCCUGGGCUCAACCUGGGAAUUGCGAUGGAAACUGGGCGACUAGAGUGUGGCAGAGGGUAGUGGAAUUCCUGGUGUAGCAGUGAAAUGCGUAGAGAUCAGGAGGAACAUCCGUAGCGAAGGCGACUGCCUGGGCCAACACUGACACUGAGGCACGAAAGCGUGGGGAGCAAACAGG